GACGAACGCUGGCGGCGUGCUUAACACAUGCAAGUCGAACGGAAAGGCCCUGCUUUUGUGGGGUGCUCGAGUGGCGAACGGGUGCGUAACACGUGUGUAACCUGCCCUUGACUUUGGUAUAACUUCAGGUAACUGGGGCUAAUACCGUAUAGGAUCUCCUGCUCCAUGGUGGGGGUUGGAAAGUUUCGGCGGUUGGGGAUGGAUUGGCGGCUUAUGAGCUUGUUGGUGGGGUAGUGGCAUGCCAAGGCUUUGACGGGUAGCCGGCCUGAGAGGGUGGCCGGCGACAUUGGGACUGAGAUACGGCCCAGACUCCUACGGGAGGCAGCAGUGGGGAAUAUUGCACAAUGGGCGGAAGCCUGAUGCAGCAACGCCGCGUGCGGGAUGACGGCCUUCGGGUUGUAAACCGCUUUCGCCUGUGACGAAGCGUGAGUGACGGUAAUGGGUAAAGAAGCACCGGCUAACUACGUG
Molecule: ribosomal RNA, 468 nt
Filed under: uncultured bacterium
Lineage: Bacteria
Description: partial 16S ribosomal RNA
Rfam family: Bacterial small subunit ribosomal RNA
Source: RNAcentral